RNAcentral lists this ribosomal RNA (179 nucleotides) under uncultured bacterium. RNAcentral describes it as "partial 16S ribosomal RNA". The record is from RNAcentral.
UUACCGCGGCUGCUGGCACGUAGUUAGCCGGGGCUUCCUCCUAGGGUACCGUCAUUAUCUUCCCCUAGGACAGAGCUUUACGACCCGAAGGCCUUCUUCACUCACGCGGCGUCGCUGCAUCAGAGUUUCCUCCAUUGUGCAAUAUCCCCCACUGCUGCCUCCCGUAGGAGUCUGGACCG